AUUGAACGCUGGCGGCAUGCCUUACACAUGCAAGUCGAACGGCAGCACGGGUGCUUGCACCUGGUGGCGAGUGGCGAACGGGUGAGUAAUACAUCGGAACAUGUCCUGUAGUGGGGGAUAGCCCGGCGAAAGCCGGAUUAAUACCGCAUACGAUCUACGGAUGAAAGCGGGGGACCUUCGGGCCUCGCGCUAUAGGGUUGGCCGAUGGCUGAUUAGCUAGUUGGUGGGGUAAAGGCCUACCAAGGCGACGAUCAGUAGCUGGUCUGAGAGGACGACCAGCCACACUGGGACUGAGACACGGCCCAGACUCCUACGGGAGGCAGCAGUGGGGAAUUUUGGACAAUGGGCGAAAGCCUGAUCCAGCAAUGCCGCGUGUGUGAAGAAGGCCUUCGGGUUGUAAAGCACUUUUGUCUGGAAAGAAAUCCUUGGCCCUAAUACGGUCGGGGGAUGACGGUACCGGAAGAAUAAGCACCGGCUAACUACGUG
RNAcentral lists this ribosomal RNA (486 nucleotides) under uncultured bacterium. Its description in RNAcentral is "partial 16S ribosomal RNA". It matches the Rfam family "Bacterial small subunit ribosomal RNA", at positions 30 to 507 of the family's 1533-position model. The record is from RNAcentral.